CAACAGAAGCAUGUUGAAAAGCUAUCAUUGGAGUGGAGGGGAAGUAUUAUCGACAAUAAUUCACAAACUGUAAGAUACAUACUUAAUUAGCUUCACCCACACAAAAAUAUAAAAGAACUCUAAAUCACCGGAUAUAUAGGGACAAAAUUUCCAAAUUGGCUAGCUAAUCAUUCGUUUCCUAAGCUGCUAGUACAAUUAUCUCUUAGCAACUGCAAGGAGUGUCAUUCCUUGCCAGCACUAGGACAACUUCCUUCUUAGAAAUUACUUUUCAUUAGAGGGAUGUAUCCAUUAACAGAGUUGAAAGAAUUCUAUGGUAGCUCAUCCUUUAAAAAUCUUUUUAACUCUCUUGAGAAUCUUGAAUUUGCAGAAAUUUCAAAGUGGAAGCAAUGGCACGUACUAGGGAAUGGAGAGUUCCCUACACUUUAGUACCUUCCGAUUGAAAAUAGUCCAAAAUUGAUGGGGAAAUUGCCUGAAAAUCUUUGUUCUCUUUCAGCAUUGAGAAUUCAAGUUGUCUUGAACUCAAUUUGGAGACGCCUAUCCAACUUUCAAGUCUAAAAAGGAGUUGUUCAAUCUGUUCUUCAAUGACUUAAAGUCCAUCAAUUCGUGGAGUCAGAGGAAGAGCAUGAAUGGUCAGGAACUAUGCAAUCAAAAAUGUUGAUAAAUGAUUUUCAAACUCAGUUCUUUUUCACAAUGCAACCGUAUACCUUAUUUUACUUGAGAUGAAACAUGCCUUGCUGCACAUGGAACAUACAACUCUAAUGGAUCCCAAAGGAAAAUGAGGAAAAACUAAUUGUUCAAUGUAACAUAUAAAUCAUAUUGCACAUUAUGGUUAGAUUGUAAGGAAAAACCAUUACUUUUUCAUUGUCACGAUUUUGGAAAAGCCCAAUGAUUAUUUGGAAAGGGAAAAGUUUCAGACAUCUCUUAAUUAAGUCAAGUUUAUGGGAAAGUGGUUUAAUUUUUAUGUGGUAUUUUGUUCGUAUGUUGGACUGAACAUUAGGACUAUAGACGUAAUAGCUUGUAUUAUUGGUUUUGGCAUUAGGCUCACACGGGGUUGUAAGGUAUCAUUUGGUAUCAAAGCUAAGGCUUCUUGUGUUCCUACACUACCAAUCUUGGGCUCUCUUAGUACAAAAAAAAGAGUGAAGUGUUCUUGUUCUAGGCCGGGUAUUCUUCUUGUUGUUGUUAUGUUUGGCCGAGAUUUGUGUCUAGAUUUGAGCGUGUUUAGUAGUCUUAGUUUGUUUCUAGUGUUGGUUCUCUUUCUCCUCAACAAUUAUUGAGUCUACAACCCAAGCUCUUGAGCAAGAUUUGAGUUGUGUUGUGGUGUUAAGUGGACGGUUUCUUGUUGUUGUUAUUGGUGUUUAUCUUGUGUUGUGUUGAAGAAGUUGUUUGAUCUUGAAGAGAGAAAAGAAGUAUAGGACUUUGUGUUUGUCUUGAAAACAAUCCAAGACAACACCAAAGUAGAAAAAGAAAAAAAACCCUCCAAAAAGCAAGUUACCAAAAAGGAGUAAGGCACUUUUCAAACUUAGACAAAAGAGGAAAAAGACAAGACUACCCCAAAAAGUUGUCUUGCCAAAAGAGUGCAAGUUGGUGGAAAGCUUUUGAAUCUUGAAAAGAGAGUCUCAAGGCUUGUAAGCCUAUACCAUGUUAGAAAUAUCUUCCUCAAAGGUGUAUUAUUGAACAUCAAAGUCCUGGAGCAAAUUCUCUUAAACAACAAAGUGUGGUUUUGGCAUUAGGCUCACACGGAUUUGAACACAAGACGGCUUCUUCGUAUACCAGCUUUUGCCAAUGUGGUAUUUGCCUAUGAUGAUACAAUAAAGUUGUUUUUACUCAGGAUACAUCUUUGUCCAACAGAAAUUAAAAAAUGACAUGAUUAUUGGACUUCCUGUGUUUAGUUAUCUUAAUUCCUUGAGGUGUAAUGGUUAGAGUAAACUAUAAAUGCUAUGUAAAAUGUAUAAGAAACAAUGAGACUUCAAGGAUAAAAAUUUGUUUGCUUAGUUUCUUGAUGUAGUUAUUACUAAUUAAAUGAUUUAUAUCUAGUUAAGUUCAUACUGCGUAAAAUUUCUUCACUCUA
Molecule: long non-coding RNA, 2068 nt
Organism: Capsicum annuum
Lineage: Eukaryota; Viridiplantae; Streptophyta; Magnoliopsida; Solanales; Solanaceae
Exons: 2
Source: RefSeq, a predicted model, not a curated record